UACGAAGGGGGCUAGCGUUGUUCGGAAUUACUGGGCGUAAAGCGCGUGUAGGCGGGUCUUUAAGUCAGGGGUGAAAUGCCAGGGCUCAACCUUGGAACUGCCUUUGAUACUGGAGACCUUGAGUCCGGGAGAGGUGAGUGGAACUGCGAGUGUAGAGGUGAAAUUCGUAGAUAUUCGCAAGAACACCAGUGGCGAAGGCGGCUCACUGGCCCGAUACUGACGCUGAGGUGCGAAAGCGUGGGGAGCAAACAGG
RNAcentral lists this ribosomal RNA (253 nucleotides) under uncultured bacterium. Its description in RNAcentral is "partial 16S ribosomal RNA". It matches the Rfam family "Bacterial small subunit ribosomal RNA", at positions 524 to 776 of the family's 1533-position model. The record is from RNAcentral.